GAUGGUCACUUAUCGUAUAAUGUUUGUUACCGCACUACCCUAUUUAAGUUAUCAACAUAUAUUCACUAAAAAUAACGUAUUUGCUGCAACUCAAGUACUCUCAAGAAUCUAGGUCCUCUCAUCGAAUUAAUCCAAGGUGUUUCAUCCCUUUCAUAUCGUUGCAUAAGAAACCUACCUACUGAAUAAUAUGGACCGUAAUAUCAAAUUGGCAAACACGAUAGUUUAUGUUCUACACGACCUUCACUAGAAAUCUGAAUCAGUUGCUUGCUACUACACGUUAAAGCUCACCAAUACAACAUCGUCGUUAAGGUAAUUGAUUCAUUACUUUAAUUUCUUAAUUUAUAUGCAAUUUUUUUAUCGUUUUGAUUUUUAUGAUUUGUUUGGCUGCACAUGUCAUUACAGCACCAUGAAAUAGAGAAUUCCUUUUCACCAUGACCAAUUUCAUCUGCUACCACUUAGUUUGGGAUCUUUUACUUCCAUCAAUUGUUUUUAAUCAACUUAUGUUUUUGAGGUUUCUAAUUAUGGUUGUUUUAAUUUUGUCUUGCAGUGUCCCUGUUCGCAUUCUUCCUGCAUGUUCAAAGUUGAAGAAUGAAAGACUAUUAUUGGCAGUAAAAUGGUUCAGCUCAAGGUAUUUGUUUGCGCCACAAUUCUUGGGCAGUUUUAGUUUUUUUUUUUAAUUAACAAAUUUGGAUAUAGUGUGCAGGCUGUAGUUUGUUGAAUUUAAUAACCAUGUGUGUUCCAUGUUCGACUGAUAAAGGACCAAGAGUUAUCAAUAUGGAUAUAUUAGCAAAUUAACCGUAAAUGUAUGUUCUUAUAGUUUGCAUAUUCUAUAAGGAGUUAGUAGCUGCAGAUGAAAAGAAACUGGAGAGGAGGAUACCUAACAUAGUAGGUUUUACCUUUCAUACGCUACACGCUCAUGGUGGUAAGAAAGAACAUUGAAUAUCAUUGUAAUGUAACUUCAAUCCAUGAUGUCGCAACGUUACUUCCUCAGCCUUAUUGUUUUGCUGAUUUUUAUUUUUUUUUUCCUUUCUUUUUCCUUUGCUUUGUUUGUAUGUUCUAAGACAUAUUGUUGAACUUUGUGAUUGGCUUGAAAGAAGAAUACUACCUAAUUGUUUUUUUGUACAUGUAAGUUAAUGCAUUUCAUGGUUUGACCGUAUGAACUCUCUUCACUUUGUUAGAUGAUGAAUUGAAUUUCUCUUGAGUUGAUUAUUAAUCAUGUAUUGAAUCCUUUGUAUAUGGUUUCUCUAAUUGUCUAAUUAUGAGCAGUUGUGUUUUUUUUUUUUCUUUCUUUCUUCUGAUCAUUCUAAUAAUCUCUAAAUUAUAUUCUAAAUGAACAACAUGUUAAUGUAGUAAGAGAAGUUUAAGUAAGAGAAAUUUGUAUUGGUUUGCAUUUGUCACCCACUCUUUGUCUUCGGUUCUCUAGCCUUCAUAUUCACUUUAAUUGCACAAUAUUAGACAUUAGUUGCCAGCACUUUCUAUAUGCUCUCUACUAAUUAAUGCUUUUGAUAUAAUUAUAAUUAUGUGUAUGCUUCUCUUAGUAAUUGAUUUUGCAGGGUAUAUGAUUCCAGCUAAAGCUGUUUUUGCACUGUUACAAGGUUUGUGAUCCAAUUUUUUCAUCUCUUCUACUAAUGUAAACACGUUUGUUGAAUCUUUUUGUUUCUCUCAAUUUGAUGUUUCCAUUAUCAACAUUUUGUUUUAAUUCUUAUAUGUAACUCUUUUUUCCUGUAUUUUUUCUGCUACAACCCCACUGGAUCUACAUGAUUCCAGCAACAAAGAAAAGUAUAUUAACACCAUGAAGCUAAUGUCCAAGAUUGGUGUUGUCAAAACUAAUGUCUCAAUUCAAUUGUGCUUUUAAAACUCUUUCCUUUUUGUAUUACUAUACUUUAGAUGUCAAUAAUAUGACAUGACAUUGAUGAAUCCUUGGAUUAUUUUGAGUUUGAUGUAAUUAUGGAUGAUUUUCAAUUAAUUU
Molecule: long non-coding RNA, 1969 nt
Filed under: Medicago truncatula (barrel medic)
Lineage: Eukaryota; Viridiplantae; Streptophyta; Magnoliopsida; Fabales; Fabaceae
Description: long non-coding RNA (MTRU_LNC001271)
Source: RNAcentral